RNAcentral lists this ribosomal RNA (253 nucleotides) under uncultured bacterium. Its description in RNAcentral is "partial 16S ribosomal RNA". It matches the Rfam family "Bacterial small subunit ribosomal RNA", at positions 524 to 776 of the family's 1533-position model. The record is from RNAcentral.
UACAGAGGGGGCAAGCGUUGUUCGGAAUUACUGGGCGUAAAGGGCGCGUAGGCGGCCACCUAAGUCAGACGUGAAAUCCCUCGGCUCAACCGGGGAACUGCGUCUGAUACUGGGUGGCUUGAAUUCGGGAGAGGGAUGCGGAAUUCCAGGUGUAGCGGUGAAAUGCGCAGAUAUCAGGAGGAACACCGAUAGUGAAGACAGCUAACUAAGCUUUAACUGACGCUGAGGCACGAAAGUGUGGGGAUCAAACAGG